This 293-nucleotide ribosomal RNA is filed under the name uncultured bacterium. RNAcentral's name for it is "partial 16S ribosomal RNA". It matches the Rfam family "Bacterial small subunit ribosomal RNA", at positions 505 to 796 of the family's 1533-position model. The record is from RNAcentral.
GUGCCAGCAGCCGCGGUAAUACGUAGGGGGCGAACGUUGUCCGGAUUUAUUGGGCGUAAAGAGCUCGUAGGCGGCUCAGCAAGUCGGCCGUGAAAACCCGGGGCUCAACCCCGGGACGCCGGUCGAAACUGCUGUGGCUAGGGUUCGGUAGAGGAGAGUGGAAUUCCCGGUGUAGCGGUGAAAUGCGCAGAUAUCGGGAGGAACACCAGUAGCGAAGGCGGCUCUCUGGGCCGAUACCGACGCUGAGGAGCGAAAGCUAGGGGAGCAAACAGGAUUAGAUACCCGCGUAGUCC